Non-coding RNA from Trichophaea hybrida, 81 nucleotides. NCBI's taxonomy places the organism in Eukaryota, Fungi, Ascomycota, Pezizomycetes, Pezizales, Pyronemataceae. The record is from the annotation of a GenBank genome assembly.
GCCCAGAUGGUCUAGUAGUAUCAUUCUCGCUCUAUAAGUUUCCAUUGCGAGACGUCCCCAGUUCAAAUCCGGGUUCGAGCC